UACAGAGGUGGCAAGCGUUGUUCGGAAUUACUGGGCGUAAAGGGCGCGUAGGCGGUUGCCUAAGUCGGACGUGAAAUCCCCAAGCUUAACUUGGGAACUGCAUCUGAUACUGGGUGACUUGAGUUCGGGAGAGGAAUGUGGAAUUCCAGGUGUAGCGGUGAAAUGCGUAGAUAUCUGGAGGAACACCGGUGGCGAAGGCGGCAUCCUGGACCGGCAUUGACGCUGAGGCGCGAAAGCUAGGGGAGCAAACGGG
This 253-nucleotide ribosomal RNA is filed under the name uncultured bacterium. RNAcentral's name for it is "partial 16S ribosomal RNA". It matches the Rfam family "Bacterial small subunit ribosomal RNA", at positions 524 to 776 of the family's 1533-position model. The record is from RNAcentral.